CGAGCCGAACACGAGCUGUCUCGUUAGAGUAUCGAGCCGAAAAAUUUAACUCGUGUUCGGCUAGUUAAUAAACGAGCCGAACAUGAGCUGACUCACAAGCUGACCAACGAACAAUAAGUUAAAAGGAUUAGAUUAAAUAUAUAUAAAAAAUAAAUUUAUAAAAUCUUAUCCAUUAGACUUUGAUCUAAUAGUUGAAACUUUACAUAUAAAUGAGUCUUUUUAUAAUUAAGCUCGCAUUUAUAUUUUUAUUUUGCUAAAAAUUAAAUAAUAAAAAUAUAUAUUAUAUAUAAUUAUUUAUUUAUAUAUAAAAAUAUAAAUUAAAUAAAUUAUAUAAAUAUAAAAUAUAUGUAUUCUAGCUGUUAUAAAGCCGAACACGAGCGAGCUAACCCCAGCUUGUGUUCGGCUCGUUUAAUAAACGAGCCGAAAAAUUCAGCUCAUGCUCGACUCGUUUACUAAACGAGCGAUUCGAUAUUGAACUCAUUUCGAGCCGAACACGAGCUGACUCACGAACAGCGAGCUGGAUUGCCACCCCUACAUAGAAGAUACAAGUAUCAAAAUUAUAUAAAUGCGCGCGAAUGAGUUAGUUUUAUAUUAAAAAAAUAUUAUCGGUAACUAAUUUUUUAAAUUUGUUAUUUGAUUUUUUAAAAUUAAAAAAAAUUUCUAUGAAAGAACAGUAUAAUUAUUCAUCAUAUACGAUGCGUAAAUUCU
Molecule: long non-coding RNA, 708 nt
Filed under: Ananas comosus (pineapple)
Lineage: Eukaryota; Viridiplantae; Streptophyta; Magnoliopsida; Poales; Bromeliaceae
Description: long non-coding RNA (ACOM_LNC037113)
Source: RNAcentral